RNAcentral lists this ribosomal RNA (253 nucleotides) under uncultured bacterium. Its description in RNAcentral is "partial 16S ribosomal RNA". It matches the Rfam family "Bacterial small subunit ribosomal RNA", at positions 524 to 776 of the family's 1533-position model. The record is from RNAcentral.
UACAGAGGUCCCGAGCGUUGUUCGGAUUCAUUGGGCGUAAAGGGUGCGUAGGCGGUCUGCUAAGUUUGAUGUGAAAUCCCGGGGCUUAACCCUGGAAUGGCAUUGAAUACUGGCGGACUAGAGUCCUGGAGAGGAAACUGGAAUUUACGGUGUAGCAGUGAAAUGCGUAGAGAUCGUAAGGAAGACCAGUGGCGAAGGCGAGUUUCUGGACAGGUACUGACGCUGAGGCACGAAGGCCAGGGGAGCAAACGGG